RNAcentral lists this long non-coding RNA (530 nucleotides) under Nicotiana benthamiana. RNAcentral's name for it is "long non-coding RNA (NBEN_LNC017675)". The record is from RNAcentral. Lineage: Eukaryota; Viridiplantae; Streptophyta; Magnoliopsida; Solanales; Solanaceae.
AGCUUAGAAACUGAGAGAAUAAAUGUAUAUUACCUUGAUAUGCAUGUUACAAUGUGUUUAUUGAAUAAUAAGCUUUCUAUUUAUAUUGUAGUGGAGUUUUACAGUGGAGUGUUACUCUAAGUAUAAUUCUAAGAAAGGGAAAAAUCUUCCUUUUUGCUAAUCAUUGUUCUGCUAUCGAUAUGGGUAGAAAUUCACAUCGUGAUAUCCUGUUGUGCAUGGAUAUCACGACCUUUUGUUAAUCAUGCGCGGACGUUUGGUAAUAUUUUCCGAGGUCUUGAAACUCGAACCACAUCUGGGGUGCGUGGUAUCGAUGGUUCUGAGGGAAUGUAUUUUAUUCGGGCCUUGAUAUGAAAGGCUCCCAGCUUCGAUUUCAAUUCCUGGUUGUUGUCCUUGCUUCGUGUGCCCUACCGGAAAAUCAAGGUGCUCAUUAGUCUCAGUUUUACCUGUAUAUAUGGUUAAGGUGCUAAACACAUCGAAUUUCUUGAGUAAUAAGUACAUAACGAGUUUAAUUUAUAUGAUAUAACAAUAAA